GCCCGGUGAGCGGCUCGGCGCCGCCGACGCCGCCGUCGUCGGUGUAGGUCGCCUCGAACAGGGCGAAGACGUUCGCCUCGGCGCCGUGCCC
This 91-nucleotide transfer RNA is filed under the name Actinoplanes sp. NBRC 103695. RNAcentral's name for it is "tRNA-Asp". Lineage: Bacteria; Bacillati; Actinomycetota; Actinomycetes; Micromonosporales; Micromonosporaceae. The record is from RNAcentral.